AGCAGCCGCGGUAAUUCCAGCUCCAAUAGCGUAUAUUAAAGUUGCUGCAGUUAAAAAGCUCGUAGUUGAAUUUCGGGAUUGACACAUCGGUCGUGCCUUAAGGGGUAUGAACUGGUGUAGUCAAUUUCUCACCUUCUGGAGAACCGCGAUGUCCUUAAUUGGGUGCCGCGGGGAACCAGGACCUUUACUUUGAAAAAUUAGAGUGUUUAAAGCAGGCAUUUUUGCUUGAAUACAUUAGCAUGGAAUAAUAAAAUAGGACGGCAUGGUUCUAUUUUGUUGGUUUCUAGGACCACCGUAAUGAUUAAUAGGGAUAGUUGGGGGCAUUAGUAUUCAAUUGUCAGAGGUGAAAUUCUUGGAUUUAUUGAAGACUAACUACUGCGAAAGCAUUUGCCAAGGAUGUUUUCAUUAAUCUAAGAACGAAAGUUAGGGGAUUCGAAGACGAUCAGAUACCGUCGUAGUCUUAACCAUAAACUAUGCCACUAGGAAUCAGACGAUGUUAAUUUUUAAUGUACUCGUUUGG
Molecule: ribosomal RNA, 520 nt
Filed under: uncultured Entrophospora
Lineage: Eukaryota; Fungi; Glomeromycota; Glomeromycetes; Entrophosporales; Entrophosporaceae
Description: SSU rRNA
Rfam family: Eukaryotic small subunit ribosomal RNA
Source: RNAcentral